GCGGCUUGUUGCGUCAGCUGUGAAAGCCCAUGGCUUAACUGUGGGUUGGCAGCUGAUACGGGCAGGCUAGAGUUCGGUAGGGGAGACUGGAAUUCCUGGUGUAGCGGUGAAAUGCGCAGAUAUCAGGAGGAACACCGGUGGCGAAGGCGGGUCUCUGGGCCGAUACUGACGCUGAGGAGCGAAAGCGUGGGGAGCGAACAGGAUUAGAUACCCUGGUAGUCCACGCUGUAAACGUUGGGCGCUAGGUGUGGGGGGCCUCUCCGGUUUCCUGUGCCGUAGCUAACGCAUUAAGCGCCCCGCCUGGGGAGUACGGCCGCAAGGCUAAAACUCGAAGGAAUUGGCGGGGGCCCGCACAAGCGGCGGAGCAUGCGGAUUAAUUCGAUGCGACGCGAAGAACCUUACCUGGGUUUGACAUGGCCGUUAAAGCCGCAGAGAUGUGGUGUCCUUCGGGGGCGGUCACAGGUGGUGCAUGGCUGUCGUCAGCUCGUGUCGUGAGAUGUUGGGUUAAGUCCCGCAACGAGCGCAACCCUUGUUCGAUGUUGCCAGCGG
RNAcentral lists this ribosomal RNA (549 nucleotides) under uncultured Dactylosporangium sp. Its description in RNAcentral is "bacterial SSU rRNA". It matches the Rfam family "Bacterial small subunit ribosomal RNA", at positions 575 to 1124 of the family's 1533-position model. Lineage: Bacteria; Bacillati; Actinomycetota; Actinomycetes; Micromonosporales; Micromonosporaceae. The record is from RNAcentral.